This 907-nucleotide unclassified non-coding RNA is filed under the name Hevea brasiliensis (rubber tree). Lineage: Eukaryota; Viridiplantae; Streptophyta; Magnoliopsida; Malpighiales; Euphorbiaceae. The record is from RNAcentral.
UUUAAAGAAAUAAUUACAUAAAAUAUUUUAAAGAAUCGAUAACCGAAUCGGAUUCGUACUAAACCGAGCUGGAAUCGAAGAAUCGAGAACGUACCAAACCGGAACCGAAACAACGAAGAACUAAAUUGAAACGAUACUGAAAUUUCAGUUCGAUUCCGAUCCGAACCAAAUCGAAACCAUGCACUCCUAAUACUAAAGAUGACUUGAUUUUAUUAGAAUUCAACUCAUUUAAUGAAGUAUUAUGCUAAAAAUUCAAAACACUAUUCUUUUAAGUUGUAUUUAAAAAAAAAAAAGGGGAAAUUAAAAAAAACAAGAAUAUUUAUCUUAUUUGUCAAUCAUGCUAAAUGAUAGAAUUCAAAUGAAUUCUAUAUCGUUUCAAAAUUUAUUUCAAAUAUAUGAAUUUUACAAAAUCUUUUGGGUUGAUUUUUUUAAUAAAAUUAUUUUAACACAAAGUUAUUUCAAAUGGAUUAUUAUUGAGUUUCAUUUUGGCAAAUUUUUAUUUUUCUCUUGUAAAAAAAUUAAAUUUUCUUUCCAAAGGAAAGAAGAGAAUAUUUUAAAGUGGGAGUGGAAUUAACUUUAGUUUAAAAAAAGAUAUACAAGGGCCUAUAUAUAAAUAUGUAUAUCCGUAAAAUUUUAAUUAAAAUAAUCGUCCAGAAAUGAAUUUUAAUUUAAUUGUUGUGUACUGCGGAAGCGUGAAAACUGCAAAAAAACAAAUAAACACACAAAACACGAAUAUUUACGUGGUUCACCCUCUCAACAUAGGGCUACAUCCACGAGCAUGCUAUCUUCCACUAUCUUCGAUAAUGAAUCAUCAAUUACAAACUCAAACUAUACUACCCAUCAACCUAAUUACACCCAAAAGAACCCAUACAACAUCGAACUAUUCAUAGUAAAUAUAUUAGUUAGU